AUUGAACGCUGGCGGCAUGCUUACACAUGCAAGUCGAACGGCACGCGGGGCAACCUGGCGGCGAGUGGCGAACGGGUGAGUAAUAUAUCGGAACGUACCCGAAGUGGGGGAUAACGUAGCGAAAGUUACGCUAAUACCGCAUACGAUCUAAGGAUGAAAGUGGGGAUUCGCAAGAACCUCAUGCUCCUGGAGCGGCCGAUAUCUGAUUAGCUAGUUGGUGGGGUAAAGGCCCACCAA
Molecule: ribosomal RNA, 237 nt
Filed under: uncultured bacterium
Lineage: Bacteria
Description: partial 16S ribosomal RNA
Rfam family: Bacterial small subunit ribosomal RNA
Source: RNAcentral